This 300-nucleotide ribosomal RNA is filed under the name uncultured Lactobacillus sp. RNAcentral describes it as "bacterial SSU rRNA". The stretch from base 52 to 300 matches the Rfam family "Bacterial small subunit ribosomal RNA", at positions 547 to 795 of the family's 1533-position model. The record is from RNAcentral. Lineage: Bacteria; Bacillati; Bacillota; Bacilli; Lactobacillales; Lactobacillaceae.
GAAAAGGGCGGCGCAAUAGCGGCGGUAAUAGGUGGGGGGGCAGCUGUGGAAGGCAUUAUGGGGCGGAAAGCGCGCGAAGGCGGUCCGGUAAGUCUGAUGUGAAAGGCCACGGAUCAACCGUGGAGGGUCAUUGGAAACUGGGGGACUGGAGUGCAGAAGAGGAAAGCGGAAUUCCACGUGUAGCGGUGAAAUGCGUAGAGAUGUGGAGGAACACCAGUGGCGAAGGCGGCUUUCUGGUCUGUAACUGACGCUGAGGCGCGAAAGCGUGGGGAGCAAACAGGAUUAGAUACCCGGGUAGUC